RNAcentral lists this non-coding RNA (767 nucleotides) under Elateridae sp. 2 ACP-2013. The record is from RNAcentral. Lineage: Eukaryota; Metazoa; Arthropoda; Insecta; Coleoptera; Elateridae.
AAAGGUUUUAUUCUAGCCUAGAAUUUUAGUGUUUAAUUUUUUUUACAUGCGUAGAUUUAAUGUUUAUACAACGUUUUGUUACAGUAUUUAAUUUUAUAUAUUUAGGUAUCUAUGAUUUAGAAAUUUAUUUAGUUUUAAUGAAAUUUGUGCCAGCAAUUGCGGUUAUACAAAUAAUGCAGUUAAAACUUUUUGGUUAAUAAUUAUUUAUUAUAAUUAUUUUAAUUGAUUAUAGAACUUUAUUAGGUGGAAUUAUUUUGUUUUAUAUAGUUUUAAUUAUUGUUUAUGAAGUUAUUAAAAUUUUUUGUAAACUAGGAUUAGAUACCCUAUUAUUUUUAUUGUAAAUUUUAUACCUGAUUAUUAAUAGCUUAUUUUCUUUAAAAUUAAAGAUUUUGGCGGUAUUUUAGUCCAUUCAGAGGAACCUGUCCUGUAAUCGAUAAUCCACGAUUUAAUUUACUUUUUUUUUAUUAGUUUGUAUAUCAUCGUGGUUGAAUAUUUUAUAAGAAAAUAAUAAAUAUUCAAGGAGUAUUAUUUUAGAAGAUGUCAGAUCAAGGUGCAGCUUUAUAGAAAAGAAGAGAUGGGUUACAAUAAAUUUAUUUUUGGUUUUGAUUUUUUAAUAGAUUAAGUAAGUUGGAUUUGAAUGUAAUAUUUUUUAAUUAGUUAAUGUGAUUAAUAGGCUCUAAAAUAUGCACAUAUUGCCCGUCGCUUUCAUUUAAUAUGAAAUAAGUCGUAACAGAGUAGGUGUACUGGAAAGUGUACCUAGAAAGAUU